This 613-nucleotide ribosomal RNA is filed under the name uncultured bacterium. RNAcentral describes it as "bacterial SSU rRNA". It matches the Rfam family "Bacterial small subunit ribosomal RNA", at positions 222 to 828 of the family's 1533-position model. The record is from RNAcentral.
AGGAGGGACUUAUCACGCAUUAGCUAGUUGGUGGGGUAACGGCCUACCAAGGCGACGAUGCGUAGCCGGCCUGAGAGGGCGGACGGCCACACUGGGACUGAGACACGGCCCAGACUCCUACGGGAGGCAGCAGUAGGGAAUUUUCGGCAAUGGGCGAAAGCCUGACCGAGCAACGCCGCGUGAACGAAGAAGGUCUUCGGAUUGUAAAGUUCUGUUAUAGAGGAAGAACGGUAUACAUAGGAAAUGAUGUAUAAGUGACGGUACUCUGUGAGGAAGCCACGGCUAACUACGUGCCAGCAGCCGCGGUAAUACGUAGGUGGCGAGCGUUAUCCGGAAUCAUUGGGCGUAAAGAGGGAGCAGGCGGCCUGGAGGGUCUAUUGUUAAAGGCAAUGGCUUAACCAUUGUAAGGCGAAGAAACCGGCAGGCUAGAGUUCUAAAGAGGAUCGUGGAAUUCCAUGUGUAGCGGUGAAAUGCGUAGAUAUAUGGAGGAACACCAGUGGCGAAGGCGACGAUCUGGGAAGAAACAGACGCUGAGUCCCGAAAGCGUGGGGAGCAAAUAGGAUUAGAUACCCUAGUAGUCCACGCCGUAAACGAUGAGUACUAAGUGUUGGGG